GGAUGAACGCUGGCGGCGUGCCUAAUACAUGCAAGUCGAGCGAACGGCCGAGAAGCUUGCUUCUCUGAUGUUAGCGGCGGACGGGUGAGUAACACGUGGAUAACCUACCUAUAAGACUGGGAUAACUUCGGGAAACCGGAGCUAAUACCGGAUAAUAUUUUGAACCGCAUGGUUCAAAAGUGAAAGACGGUCUUGCUGUCACUUAUAGAUGGAUCCGCGCUGCAUUAGCUAGUUGGUAAGGUAACGGCUUACCAAGGCAACGAUGCAUAGCCGACCUGAGAGGGUGAUCGGCCACACUGGAACUGAGACACGGUCCAGACUCCUACGGGAGGCAGCAGUAGGGAAUCUUCCGCAAUGGGCGAAAGCCUGACGGAGCAACGCCGCGUGAGUGAUGAAGGUCUUCGGAUCGUAAAACUCUGUUAUUAGGGAAGAACAUAUGUGUAAGUAACUGUGCACAUCUUGACGGUACCUAAUCAGAAAGCCACGGCUAACUACGUG
RNAcentral lists this ribosomal RNA (498 nucleotides) under uncultured bacterium. RNAcentral's name for it is "partial 16S ribosomal RNA". It matches the Rfam family "Bacterial small subunit ribosomal RNA", at positions 27 to 507 of the family's 1533-position model. The record is from RNAcentral.